UAUACAGGAAUUCAUUAUUGCUAGGUUCCACAGUUCCUUUAAAAGAUUGAGCUAGACAAUGCAUCUACUAAUUAAAAAAAAAAUCAGUUUACAAAAAUAAUUAGUUUUAAAUGAAUACUAUGCUUUUGUGGCUUUUCAUGACAUUCAUCAAAGCUGCAUAUAAAAGUUUAUGUUAUGAACUAACUACUCUCUGCCCUGUGAUUAAAGGGCACAUGAUGACCUCACGAACCACCCUUUAGACUUCCAGUGCUUCUGGCUUUAAUAUUCUGUGCUAGAUUCACAGAGAUCUUCUACAGAUGCUAAGCGUUCAAUCCUGAAGGCUCCACUUCAUCAUCAGGAAGAGUAUGUAAAACUCUGAAUUUCAAAGCUGUGCUACUCUAAAAUUCCUUUUCCAUGAAUACUCAGUUCACUCAUGUCCUGCCAAUUUAGAUAUGACUAAAAUUAUCAACAGAGAGAUCAAGAGUGCAUUUCCCUGCUACAUGUUCAGCACUGCAGCAGCAGAACAGAAAAAACCCAGCAUCAGACAGAAGUGACUUCUACAGACAGCCCAGUACCUGAGGAGGAUUAGAAGUAGUACACAAGAUCCAGAGAUUAUUCCUGGUGAAAUUAUAACAGUGUUAACAGAGAUCAAAUAUAAUUUAUUUUGUCUCAUUUUCUGAGAAUGAAAUCUGUUGCUGCGGCUGUUUGUCUCUCCUCUGCCACUCUCUUUGAUCUACUUUGUUUUCUCAUACAAAUAUUGUAUGUAAUUAUGACAGUUAUGCCAACCUUUAAAAUAAAAUCUCUUUUGCUUUGUGGAGGGUUACAUACUAGUGCUACCAGACUUCUCAUAAACCCUGAAUAAAAUGCUCUGACAUUCUAACAGAUGAAAAAAUAAUUAUCUAGAACUUAUUUCAGAACUUGCUAAUUAAGAUUAUGAACUGCUUCCAUUAAAAACUCCAGUUUAGCUUUCAUUCUUUUAAAGAAUGAAAUGAUCUGUUUUUUAAUCAUCAGGAUGAAAAAUCUUUUUUGUUUAAUUCACAAACUUUUGUUUGCUGGAAGUUGCUGGGAAGGAAGUUGGUGCAAAAGACAAGUAUCUUAUCUCCUUUUUCAAAAGAGAUUUAAAAGUGAGUAAAUAAUAAUAAAAAUUAAAAAGGUUUUCCACUGGAGACAGCCUUCAAUGAACACUAGUUAAGUCCAUCACUCACUAAAACUUGAAAACUUAUAAUGACAUAUUUGGAAGAUUUUUCAUAUUGCUUUUAGUACAUAUUAGAUAAUGUAGAAACUGAAAAGUUUCUGUUCCUAUAUCUCUCUUUAGUAUGAACUCAUACUGAGAGUUAGUUUUUCACAUUCUGCUGCAAUCAGCCCUGGUUGCUUCAUUGCCUUCAUCUUGGGUAGCCACCAAUGUUAACACAAAAGGACGCAGUGUGCCACCAUUAUGACCCCACUGAAGGAAAUAUACAUAAAUUCGGGUGAUUAUAGAAAAGUGAAGAAAAAUAGGGACUCAGAUAUUUUGGUAACAUACAAUGAACUCUAACAGAAAAUAUAAAGAGGGAGGAUGAGACUGAGGUUUUCACACACACCAGUGAAUUCUUAACCAACUUGAAUGCUAAGAACUGUUGCUUUAUUUAUAAGAAAGAAGUUACUUAAUGAAGUGAAAUCAUUCUUCUUCCAAGUUCAUAGUAUUAUGGUUUAAAAGUUCUGUAAAGGAUAGGGGGCUUUAAGAAAAACACUCCUUCUGACACUGAUUAGGAUUCAACACCACAUUUCAUGAGUCAGACUAAAAAACCCCUGUAAUUUGACUGGAUGCUACUGACAUCUUAUGAAAGAUCCCUGCAAGUUAUCAUCACUACAAUUUCUGCCAAUGCUUUUUUUUUGCUGUGUAUUGCUGUAUGGUAUUGCACUGUAGAAUUAGUUCUAAAUAAUUUUGUAUUGUUUUUCUUGCCUGGCCUAGGAGCCCUAUCCAUGGUUCUCCAAAAACUUAUCAGCAAUUAAUAAAUUCUUCCCCUCUAUUCUCUACCCUCUGCACAAAUAUGUCUUUGAAACAAAUUAUGAAUAUCAUGACUUUGCUAAAUGCAUUGAGGUCUAUUUCCUUUUGAUUCGACAAAUGUAAUUUUGUCUGCCAGAGACACAUACUAGUUAUGCCCUGAUAUGCUAACAUUAUUUGACAUCUUUCCCUCUCACUUGUUAAUGGAGUCCUUCACUGCAACCAUGC
Long non-coding RNA from Pezoporus flaviventris, 2191 nucleotides. RefSeq lists it as uncharacterized. The record is from RefSeq and is a predicted model, not a curated record. The transcript has 3 exons. NCBI's taxonomy places the organism in Eukaryota, Metazoa, Chordata, Aves, Psittaciformes, Psittacidae.